CCUACGGGUUGCACCAGUGGGGAAUGUUGGACAAUGGGCGGAAGCCUGAUCCAGCAAUGCCGCGUGUGUGAAGAAGGUCUUCGGAUUGUAAAGCACUUUCGACGGGGACGAUGAUGACGGUACCCGUAGAAGAAGCCCCGGCUAACUUCGUGCCAGCAGCCGCGGUAAUACGAAGGCGGCUAGCGUUGCUCGGAAUGACUGGGCGUAAAGGGCGCGUAGGCGGUUUAUGCAGUCAGAUGUGAAAUCCCCGGGCUUAACCUGGGAACUGCAUUUGAGAUGCAUAGACUAGAGGUCGAGAGAGGCGUGUGGAAUUCCCAGUGUAGAGGUGAAAUUCGUAGAUAUUGGGAAGAACACCGGUGGCGAAGGCGGCAACCUGGCUCGAUACUGACGCUGAGGCGCGAAAGCGUGGCGAGCAAACAGGAUUAGAUACCCCUGUAGUC
This 440-nucleotide ribosomal RNA is filed under the name uncultured bacterium. RNAcentral describes it as "bacterial SSU rRNA". It matches the Rfam family "Bacterial small subunit ribosomal RNA", at positions 338 to 795 of the family's 1533-position model. The record is from RNAcentral.